Long non-coding RNA from Oreochromis aureus, 2509 nucleotides. The record is from Ensembl. NCBI's taxonomy places the organism in Eukaryota, Metazoa, Chordata, Actinopteri, Cichliformes, Cichlidae.
CCCAAAUGGCCCUGCUCCUCACUCUGUCACUAAGAGAGACCACCCGACACCAUUUGUAGGAAGCUCAUUUCAGCUGCCAAUUAUUCCUCCAAGUAGCAGUUUUUAAAUGCUGCUUAGAUAUCAUUAUUAGCGUUAAUGAUACUCAUCCAGUAAUUGAACUGGACUUGUCUUUUGUUCCAGUAAAGACAUACAGUAACAACAUAAAAGUGAUCGUUCAUCCAAAUAAAGCAGAAGAAAUCAGAAGCUACAUUUAGGCAUUUUUGUUUGUUUGUUUGUUUGGUUGGUUGUGCUUUUUCCAUAGUUUCACACAUAAUUUUUAAGAAGUCAUUAAUUUAAUUCAGUAUUACAAUGGACAGUUUUGUUUUGGCACAAAUACAAACCUGUUUAUAUAGAAAAAUCAUGUCCUUAAUUACUCUUACGAGUGGAUGUCUAUGCUAUUUCAGACUGGAUGACCCAUAUAGAGUGAGAUGAUCUUUGGUAUUUUGCUGGCACGGAGUAAAAAUCUAGAAAUUAAUACAAAGUUAUUUUAACUGAUCACUUUUAUCCUAUAAGACAUUUCUGUCCUGUUUGGAGUUGUCAGUUUUAUACAGUUUUCAAAGAUUCAGUUCAAAACUUCAGAUCCUUCACUAGAUAUGUGUUUACCUUUCUCCAUAUAUGCUCAUUCAUGCACGUCAGGCAGAAAAAUUCUGUUGCUUUCAAAUUAAAACCUUUGAUUUUAAAACCACUUACUGUGGACUGCAAGAUUGUGUACUGAGUUUACUAAGAGGUACAUUGAUGUAACAGACUUCCUACAGAUCCUUUUCAAUCCCAGUGUCAAGUGACAUGGUUUUCAAGGUUUGUAACAGCUUUACAUCAUAGCAAACCUUAGGUUUCAUAUGAUGAACUGUCAGCAACUAAAAGAGAGACCAAAAAUAAAAACAAGCAAAAAUAAAUAAAUAAAACCAAAAUAACAUGGGAACAGUGAAAGAAAAGGAAAAACAAAGAAAAUAAUGAACUAUUAAAACACAGACUUUGACAAAAUUUCAUAAUUUCCUCACCUUUAAUGGUUGUUUUGACAUAGUUUGUUUUCUGCUUUGUGUUCUAACAUGUAUAAAUUUGUCUAAAUAUGUUUUACAGAUGUGAAAUAAUGUGAAUUAAAGUAAAAGCAAAAAACAAAAAACUGGCCAAUCUCUCCCAUUUAAAGGGACAUUUAGCAGAGAUUAAAAGUACUAAACUACCAGUUCACAAACACAUCAAACAGAACAUCCAGGACUCUCGCAACUCGAUGUGCCAUCUUGUUUUCAAAUAAGCUGUUGAGGGCACUGAGCCCGUCUGAGGGAGGGAGGUUGUCGGGGCAGAUUUCUGUGUAUGCAAAGAAUACAAAUAAAACAAACAGCUUUUAUGACAUAAUAGUGACACAGUAUGUUAAGAAAUGUGCUGAAACUCACCGUUGUUUGGGUCCAUCAUAAUGGGUGAUGACAUCUGGAGACAUUCUGCUUGUUUCUUUAACCUCUCCACAACGUCGGGAGAGACAUUCGUUUUCCUGCCUGGAAAUAAAGAACAAAAAGAGGGAAAAAAACAGGUAACUAAAAGUUUUUCUACAGAUUUUCAUGCUUCAAAAAAACUAUAGUAUGAAGAAAAAAGUGUUCUGGAUUCACAUAUGGUAUUAGUGGGAUAUGUGUUUCUUACUGAAUAGAAGAAGGCUGGUAAAAGUAUCUUUCCCAGAGAUGACUUCUUCAUAAGCAAGCAGACAGUCAGAGCAGCCAGUUGGCAGGAAGACAUCCUUUAGGUAAAAAGGCUCCUCUGUAUGAAACAAACAACAACAAAAACAGUUUCUUGAAAUUGGAAAUCACAAGAAACUACGUGAUUGCAGGUUUCCUCUGCAUGUGUGCCUCUGUGGCCAUUCUUUACUCACUGAUUAACAUUGCGCUGUUUUCAAAGAUCACAUUAUACGUCAUGCUCGAACAGUCACCAUUUCUGUGAGGAAGAAAAUAAAAGCAUCAGAACUUGAUGUCAAGAUAAACAUAGCAAAAUAAAGAAAAUAAAUAUGUAUAAAUGACUUCAGCUAUUGUGUUAAAAUUGCUUAAGGGAGCAUUUACAUUCUCUGAGUCUGCAGGAUAUUGAGGACGUUACUGUUGGCAGUUGUAGUAAGAUUCAACCAGACGCUGGUCAGCAGGAAGCCAAAGGAACGGCUUCCCGGGAGGUCAGAGCUUCCCCCAACGUAUAUCCAUUUUCCCAAUCUCUUCCGUGCUGACAGUUAUUGGGUUAAUCAGAGUGUCACAGCUGCUCACAGGAGCUGAGCGUCCCACCGAGAGCAGACUCAGCAACAAAACAACACACUUCAUCUUUUAAAUGUCUCCUUUCUCCUUUUCAAGAUUUCCUCCUUCUUCUUUUGUUACUGCCUCCCUGUUUGCCUCCAAGCUCUAUUUUGACUUCACAGCCUCACAGAUUUCUCUGGAUGCAGCAUUUAUUCACUUGUGCUGUGAACCUUUGCAGCAAAGGCAAACAGCAGGGGAUGAUCGAAGGAAGA